This 2921-nucleotide ribosomal RNA is filed under the name Staphylococcus aureus. Its description in RNAcentral is "23S ribosomal RNA". It matches the Rfam family "Bacterial large subunit ribosomal RNA". The record is from RNAcentral. Lineage: Bacteria; Bacillati; Bacillota; Bacilli; Caryophanales; Staphylococcaceae.
GAUUAAGUUAUUAAGGGCGCACGGUGGAUGCCUUGGCACUAGAAGCCGAUGAAGGACGUUACUAACGACGAUAUGCUUUGGGGAGCUGUAAGUAAGCUUUGAUCCAGAGAUUUCCGAAUGGGGAAACCCAGCAUGAGUUAUGUCAUGUUAUCGAUAUGUGAAUACAUAGCAUAUCAGAAGGCACACCCGGAGAACUGAAACAUCUUAGUACCCGGAGGAAGAGAAAGAAAAUUCGAUUCCCUUAGUAGCGGCGAGCGAAACGGGAAGAGCCCAAACCAACAAGCUUGCUUGUUGGGGUUGUAGGACACUCUAUACGGAGUUACAAAGGACGACAUUAGACGAAUCAUCUGGAAAGAUGAAUCAAAGAAGGUAAUAAUCCUGUAGUCGAAAAUGUUGUCUCUCUUGAGUGGAUCCUGAGUACGACGGAGCACGUGAAAUUCCGUCGGAAUCUGGGAGGACCAUCUCCUAAGGCUAAAUACUCUCUAGUGACCGAUAGUGAACCAGUACCGUGAGGGAAAGGUGAAAAGCACCCGGAAGGGGAGUGAAAUAGAACCUGAAACCGUGUGCUUACAAGUAGUCAGAGCCCGUUAAUGGGUGAUGGCGUGCCUUUUGUAGAAUGAACCGGCGAGUUACGAUUUGAUGCAAGGUUAAGCAGUAAAUGUGGAGCCGUAGCGAAAGCGAGUCUGAAUAGGGCGUUUAGUAUUUGGUCGUAGACCCGAAACCAGGUGAUCUACCCUUGGUCAGGUUGAAGUUCAGGUAACACUGAAUGGAGGACCGAACCGACUUACGUUGAAAAGUGAGCGGAUGAACUGAGGGUAGCGGAGAAAUUCCAAUCGAACCUGGAGAUAGCUGGUUCUCUCCGAAAUAGCUUUAGGGCUAGCCUCAAGUGAUGAUUAUUGGAGGUAGAGCACUGUUUGGACGAGGGGCCCCUCUCGGGUUACCGAAUUCAGACAAACUCCGAAUGCCAAUUAAUUUAACUUGGGAGUCAGAACAUGGGUGAUAAGGUCCGUGUUCGAAAGGGAAACAGCCCAGACCACCAGCUAAGGUCCCAAAAUAUAUGUUAAGUGGAAAAGGAUGUGGCGUUGCCCAGACAACUAGGAUGUUGGCUUAGAAGCAGCCAUCAUUUAAAGAGUGCGUAAUAGCUCACUAGUCGAGUGACACUGCGCCGAAAAUGUACUGGGGCUAAACAUAUUACCGAAGCUGUGGAUUGUCCUUUGGACAAUGGUAGGAGAGCGUUCUAAGGGCGUUGAAGCAUGAUCGUAAGGACAUGUGGAGCGCUUAGAAGUGAGAAUGCCGGUGUGAGUAGCGAAAGACGGGUGAGAAUCCCGUCCACCGAUUGACUAAGGUUUCCAGAGGAAGGCUCGUCCGCUCUGGGUUAGUCGGGUCCUAAGCUGAGGCCGACAGGCGUAGGCGAUGGAUAACAGGUUGAUAUUCCUGUACCACCUAUAAUCGUUUUAAUCGAUGGGGGGACGCAGUAGGAUAGGCGAAGCGUGCGAUUGGAUUGCACGUCUAAGCAGUAAGGCUGAGUAUUAGGCAAAUCCGGUACUCGUUAAGGCUGAGCUGUGAUGGGGAGAAGACAUUGUGUCUUCGAGUCGUUGAUUUCACACUGCCGAGAAAAGCCUCUAGAUAGAAAAUAGGUGCCCGUACCGCAAACCGACACAGGUAGUCAAGAUGAGAAUUCUAAGGUGAGCGAGCGAACUCUCGUUAAGGAACUCGGCAAAAUGACCCCGUAACUUCGGGAGAAGGGGUGCUCUUUAGGGUUAACGCCCAGAAGAGCCGCAGUGAAUAGGCCCAAGCGACUGUUUAUCAAAAACACAGGUCUCUGCUAAACCGUAAGGUGAUGUAUAGGGGCUGACGCCUGCCCGGUGCUGGAAGGUUAAGAGGAGUGGUUAGCUUCUGCGAAGCUACGAAUCGAAGCCCCAGUAAACGGCGGCCGUAACUAUAACGGUCCUAAGGUAGCGAAAUUCCUUGUCGGGUAAGUUCCGACCCGCACGAAAGGCGUAACGAUUUGGGCACUGUCUCAACGAGAGACUCGGUGAAAUCAUAGUACCUGUGAAGAUGCAGGUUACCCGCGACAGGACGGAAAGACCCCGUGGAGCUUUACUGUAGCCUGAUAUUGAAAUUCGGCACAGCUUGUACAGGAUAGGUAGGAGCCUUUGAAACGUGAGCGCUAGCUUACGUGGAGGCGCUGGUGGGAUACUACCCUAGCUGUGUUGGCUUUCUAACCCGCACCACUUAUCGUGGUGGGAGACAGUGUCAGGCGGGCAGUUUGACUGGGGCGGUCGCCUCCUAAAAGGUAACGGAGGCGCUCAAAGGUUCCCUCAGAAUGGUUGGAAAUCAUUCAUAGAGUGUAAAGGCAUAAGGGAGCUUGACUGCGAGACCUACAAGUCGAGCAGGGUCGAAAGACGGACUUAGUGAUCCGGUGGUUCCGCAUGGAAGGGCCAUCGCUCAACGGAUAAAAGCUACCCCGGGGAUAACAGGCUUAUCUCCCCCAAGAGUUCACAUCGACGGGGAGGUUUGGCACCUCGAUGUCGGCUCAUCGCAUCCUGGGGCUGUAGUCGGUCCCAAGGGUUGGGCUGUUCGCCCAUUAAAGCGGUACGCGAGCUGGGUUCAGAACGUCGUGAGACAGUUCGGUCCCUAUCCGUCGUGGGCGUAGGAAAUUUGAGAGGAGCUGUCCUUAGUACGAGAGGACCGGGAUGGACAUACCUCUGGUGUACCAGUUGUCGUGCCAACGGCAUAGCUGGGUAGCUAUGUGUGGACGGGAUAAGUGCUGAAAGCAUCUAAGCAUGAAGCCCCCUCAAGAUGAGAUUUCCCAACUUCGGUUAUAAGAUCCCUCAAAGAUGAUGAGGUUAAUAGGUUCGAGGUGGAAGCAUGGUGACAUGUGGAGCUGACGAAUACUAAUCGAUCGAAGACUUAAUCAA